RNAcentral lists this long non-coding RNA (228 nucleotides) under Brassica napus (rape). Its description in RNAcentral is "long non-coding RNA (BNAP_LNC002597)". The record is from RNAcentral. Lineage: Eukaryota; Viridiplantae; Streptophyta; Magnoliopsida; Brassicales; Brassicaceae.
UAAAAAAUAAAAUAAAAUACUGCUAAAAAACUUAACUUUUACCAAUGAUAUUAAUACUCGUGAAUACAUUCGAUCUGAACAAAAAAAAAUCGUACGAAAAAAGACACCAAAAACAAAAACAACCAUUUUCGGUUACACAAUUUUGUUUGAACAAUAUUUUGGAGGUUCCAGAUCAAGUUUACCUGACUAUUAGUAUUGUUGUAAUAUUUAAAUUUGUGUAAUAGUUAU